Molecule: ribosomal RNA, 262 nt
Filed under: uncultured bacterium
Lineage: Bacteria
Description: partial 16S ribosomal RNA
Rfam family: Bacterial small subunit ribosomal RNA
Source: RNAcentral
CCGCGGUAAAACGUAGGAGGCGAGCGUUAUCCGGAUUUACUGGGUGUAAAGCGCGUGUAGGCGGUCCUGCAAGUGGUGCGUGAAAGCUCCCGGCUCAACCGGGAGAGGCCGUUCGAAACUGGGCAGCUAGAGGGCAGCAGAGGGGCGUGGAAUUCCGGGUGGAGUGGUGAAAUGCGUAGAGAUCCGGAGGAACACCAGAGGCGAAGGCGGCGCCCUGGGCUGCACCUGACGCUGAGCCGCGAAAGCCAGGGUAGCGAACGGG